GACGAACGCUGGCGGCGUGCUUAACACAUGCAAGUCGAACGGAAAGGCCCUGCUUUUGUGGGGUGCUCGAGUGGCGAACGGGUGAGUAACACGUGAGUAACCUGCCCUUGACUUUGGGAUAACUUCAGGAAACUGGGGCUAAUACCGGAUAGGAGCUCCUGCUGCAUGGUGGGGGUUGGAAAGUUUCGGCGGUUGGGGAUGGACUCGCGGCUUAUCAGCUUGUUGGUGGGGUAGUGGCGUACCAAGGCUUUGACGGGUAGCCGGCCUGAGAGGGUGACCGGCCACAUUGGGACUGAGAUACGGCCCAGACUCCUACGGGAGGCAGCGGUGGGGAAUAUUGCACAAUGGGCGGAAGCCUGAUGCAGCAGCGCCGCGUGCGGGAUGACGGCCUUCGGGUUGUAAACCGCUUUCGCCUGUGACGAAGCGUGAGUGACGGUAAUGGGUAAAGAAGCACCGGCUAACUACGUG
RNAcentral lists this ribosomal RNA (468 nucleotides) under uncultured bacterium. RNAcentral's name for it is "partial 16S ribosomal RNA". It matches the Rfam family "Bacterial small subunit ribosomal RNA", at positions 28 to 507 of the family's 1533-position model. The record is from RNAcentral.